Molecule: long non-coding RNA, 1064 nt
Organism: Megalopta genalis
Lineage: Eukaryota; Metazoa; Arthropoda; Insecta; Hymenoptera; Halictidae
Source: RefSeq, a predicted model, not a curated record
UGACCCGAGGAACCCGCCACUUUCGAAUUGCGAGACAUUUUUGGGACACCUUGUAUAUAUCCCCGCCAACGGGGGAAUCCUCUUCGCGACCCGGUGAAGCGUUAAACGGGCGCGACGGCCGAGCCAGCGAAGUGUCACGAAGAAGAAUCGAAGGUUCAAGGACUCGCCCAACACGCCUUCGGCGACACUAAUUACCGCGGUCACGCCCGAUGCCGCGACGGUUUCGGGUCGCGUCUAAUACGAAGCUUCUCAUUAAGUCAGCGCGUGGAAGACGACAUCGUGCGACUGGCAGCAUGAGAGGACGUCGACGGCUCGCCGACGAAAAACUUCCUCGAUUUAUUUGGCUUUUGUUUGCAGCGAACGUUCGUGCGAACGACGACGCGUGUCACAACGCGGCGCCCAGGAUAUUGACCCAGUUUUCCUGGUGCGCCGGGCACCACCACCGUGUGCCACCCAUGAAUGUGUCAUACGAUCAUUUCGAGCUGAUGCGCCCGCAGCCCCUCCGGAGAGCAUGAAUUUUUUAAAUCGGCCGGCCGCCGCGACUCCGCCGCCGCCUUUUUCGUGACUCGAAAUGCGGGCCUCGCCCGGGCUCCCGCGAUCGCACCGCCGCGAAAGGAACACCGUUUUAUCGUUGGAACUUCGAUAAAACGAUCGGUUCGAAUAUUUAGCGAAGCGGGGCUCGCGCGAUUUUCGUGAAAAGAAACGGAAGAGAAAUAACGAAUAAUGUGGCUAGAAGUCUGCGAUGGGUUGAACAUUAUUUAUGUAAAUGUUCAUUUUUAGUGAUUGUUUGGAGGAAAAAUUGCUGUACGGAAUUUUAAAGCAAAGCCAAGGAUUAUUAUUUAUCUGAAUAAAAUGUGUAAAAUGAUGAAAUUGAUUUCUUAUUUAUAAAUAGAAUUUUAAUUGUUUAUUAAUUAUCGUUUAAUUGCUUAUUAUAUUUCACAAGUUCUUCGAUAAUAAUGAAUGGACGUUGAUAUUUAUUACGCGAUAAACAAAAAAGAGAAUUACUUAUCGUCUGCUUUUCAACUAAAUUGUAACAAUAAAUAACCAUUCACUUGCAAAAUUAA